CAGUAGCCGCGGGAAUACGAAGGGGGCUAGCGUUGUUCGGAAUCACUGGGCGUAAAGCGCACGUAGGCGGAUUUUUAAGUCAGGGGUGAAAUCCCGAGGCUCAACCUCGGAACUGCCUUUGAUACUGGGGAUCUGGAGUCCGGGAGAGGUGAGCGGAACUGCGAGUGUAGAGGUGAAAUUCGUAGAUAUUCGCAAGAACACCAGUGGCGAAGGCGGCUCACUGGCCCGGAACUGACGCUGAGGUGCGAAAGCGUGGGGAGCAAACAGGAUUAGAGACCCCUGUAGUCCCUGUCUCUUAUAC
This 301-nucleotide ribosomal RNA is filed under the name uncultured bacterium. RNAcentral describes it as "partial 16S ribosomal RNA". It matches the Rfam family "Bacterial small subunit ribosomal RNA", at positions 509 to 807 of the family's 1533-position model. The record is from RNAcentral.